GUCGAGCGGCGGACGGGUGAGUAACGGCUGGGAACCUGCCCUGACGAGGGGGAUAACCGUUGGAAACGACGGCUAAUACCGCAUAAUGUCUACGGACCAAAGGUGGCCUCUACAUGUAAGCUAUCGCGUUGGGAUGGGCCCAGUUAGGAUUAGCUAGUUGGUAAGGUAAUGGCUUACCAAGGCAACGAUCCUUAGCUGGUUUGAGAGGAUGAUCAGCCACACUGGGACUGAGACACGGCCCAGACUCCUACGGGAGGCAGCAGUGGGGAAUAUUGCACAAUGGGGGAGACCCUGAUGCAGCCAUGCCGCGUGUGUGAAGAAGGCCUUCGGGUUGUAAAGCACUUUCAGCAGUGAGGAAGGUCGUGUACUUAAUACGUGCACGGCUUGACGUUAGCUGCAGAAGAAGCACCGGCUAACUCCGUGCCAGCAGCCGCGGUAAUACGGAGGGUGCGAGCGUUAAUCGGAAUUACUGGGCGUAAAGCGCAUGCAGGCGGUUUGUUAAGUCAGAUGUGAAAGCCCGGGGCUCAACCUCGGAACCGCAUUUGAAACUGGCAGGCUAGAGUCUUGUAGAGGGGGGUAGAAUUUCAGGUGUAGCGGUGAAAUGCGUAGAGAUCUGAAGGAAUACCAGUGGCGAAGGCGGCCCCCUGGACAAAGACUGACGCUCAGAUGCGAAAGCGUGGGUAGCAAACAGGAUUAGAUACCCUGGUAGUCCACGCCGUAAACGCUGUCUACUUGGAGGUUGAGGUUUUAGACUUUGGCUUUCGGCGCUAACGCAUUAAGUAGACCGCCUGGGGAGUACGGCCGCAAGGUUAAAACUCAAAUGAAUUGACGGGGGCCCGCACAAGCGGUGGAGCAUGUGGUUUAAUUCGAUGCAACGCGAAGAACCUUACCUACUCUUGACAUCCAGCGAAGCCUUUAGAGAUAGAGGYGUGCCUUCGGGAGCGCUGAGACAGGUGCUGCAUGGCUGUCGUCAGCUCGUGUUGUGAAAUGUUGGGUUAAGUCCCGCAACGAGCGCAACCCUUAUCCUUGUUUGCCAGCACRUAAUGGUGGGAACUCCAGGGAGACUGCCGGUGAUAAACCGGAGGAAGGUGGGGACGACGUCAAGUCAUCAUGGCCCUUACGAGUAGGGCUACACACGUGCUACAAUGGCAGAUACAGAGGGCAGCGAGACAGCGAUGUUUAGCGAAUCCCUUAAAGUUUGUCGUAGUCCGGAUUGGAGUCUGCAACUCGACUCCAUGAAGUCGGAAUCGCUAGUAAUCGUGGAUCAGAAUGCCACGGUGAAUACGUUCCCGGGCCUUGUACACACCGCCCGUCACACCAUGGGAGUGGGCUGCACCAGAAGUAGAUAGCUUAACCUUCGGGAGGGCGUUUACCACGGUGUGGUUCAUGACUGGGGUGAAGUCGUAACAAGGUAGCCCUAGGGGAACCUGCGGCUGGUCCACCUCCUUA
This 1449-nucleotide ribosomal RNA is filed under the name Salinivibrio sp. TA012_1. Its description in RNAcentral is "16S ribosomal RNA". It matches the Rfam family "Bacterial small subunit ribosomal RNA". The record is from RNAcentral. Lineage: Bacteria; Pseudomonadati; Pseudomonadota; Gammaproteobacteria; Vibrionales; Vibrionaceae.